Molecule: ribosomal RNA, 448 nt
Filed under: uncultured bacterium
Lineage: Bacteria
Description: SSU rRNA
Rfam family: Bacterial small subunit ribosomal RNA
Source: RNAcentral
AGAGCGAACGCUGGCGGCAGGCCUAACACAUGCAAGUCGAGCGCUCGUAGCAAUACGAGAGCGGCAGACGGGAGAGUAACACGUGGGAACGUACCCUUUGGUUCGGAACAACACAGGGAAACUUGUGCUAAUACCGAAUAAGCCCUUACGGGGAAAGAUUUAUCGCCAAAGGAUCGGCCCGCGUCUGAUUAGCUAGUUGGUGGGGUAAUGGCUCACCAAGGCGACGAUCAGUAGCUGGUCUGAGAGGAUAACCAGCCUCAUUGGGACUGAGACACGGCCCAAACUCCUACGGGAGGCAGCAGUGGGGAAUAUUGGACAAUGGGCGCAAGCCUGAUCCAGCCAUGCCGCGUGGAUGAUGAAGGCCUUAGGGUUGUAAAGUCCUUUUAACGGGGAAGAUAAUGACGGUACCCGUAGAAUAAGCCCCGGCUAACUUCGCGCCAGCAGCCGC